Non-coding RNA from Nelumbo nucifera (sacred lotus), 605 nucleotides. The record is from RefSeq and is a predicted model, not a curated record. NCBI's taxonomy places the organism in Eukaryota, Viridiplantae, Streptophyta, Magnoliopsida, Proteales, Nelumbonaceae.
ACUGCAUGAUACUCUUGGAAUUUCAUUGGAUGAUCAAAGGCUGAUGUGGAUGGAAAUGGAACAAUCGAUUAUAUUGAAUUUAUUACUGCAACCAUGCAUAGGCACAAGCUGAUACAUUUGUGACAGGAUGCCCGGGCUGCUAACUCUAUGUUGUUUGGAAGCUCCAUAGUUCCUAUUCAAAAAGAAUAGUCGUCGUUGGCAUGAAGAGGAGAGAGAAACUGGCUUACUUGGUAGAAGAGACCAUUGUAUUUGCAUUGAUGGUGGGAGUAGCUGGUUGUUUUUAUGUUAUUAUUUUUUACCAAGAUGCCCGUUGUAUGCCCAAGCAGCUUGUUAUUUUUUAUAUUUGUUUAAUGGUGGGAGUAGCUGGAACACCAUUUGGUAGCAAGAAACAGUUCUAUUUGCAUCGUGGAAAUGCCAAACAUCCACAAAAAUUGUAUUCUUAUUUACGUCUUUCAAAACAAAUGAGCUGAGUGCAAAGUGGGUGUGUAAAUCUUGAACCACUUUGCACUCACAUGAACCAAACAUUUUCGUUUUGCACUCUACAAACUUGCAUUCGUACUCCAACCAAAUGGAACCUUAUGUGAUGGCAUGAUCAUCAUAUUUUC